This 433-nucleotide ribosomal RNA is filed under the name uncultured Rhodobacter sp. Its description in RNAcentral is "bacterial SSU rRNA". It matches the Rfam family "Bacterial small subunit ribosomal RNA", at positions 8 to 490 of the family's 1533-position model. The record is from RNAcentral. Lineage: Bacteria; Pseudomonadati; Pseudomonadota; Alphaproteobacteria; Rhodobacterales.
AGAGUUUGAUCAUGGCUCAGAACGAACGCUGGCGGCAGGCCUAACACAUGCAAGUCGAGCGCCCCGCAAGGGGAGCGGCGGACGGGUGAGUAACGCGUGGGAACGUACCCCUUUCUACGGAAUAGCCUCGGGAAACUGGGAGUAAUACCGUAUAAGCCCUACGGGGGAAAGAUUUAUCGGGAAGGGAUCGGCCCGCGUUGGAUUAGGUAGUUGGUGGGGUAAUGGCCUACCAAGCCGACGAUCCAUAGCUGGUUUGAGAGGAUGAUCAGCCACACUGGGACUGAGACACGGCCCAGACUCCUACGGGAGGCAGCAGUGGGGAAUCUUAGACAAUGGGCGCAAGCCUGAUCUAGCCAUGCCGCGUGAUCGAUGAAGGCCUUAGGGUUGUAAAGAUCUUUCAGUGGGGAAGAUAAUGACUUACCCACAGAAGAGC